GUCAACAGUGAAACUGCGAAUGGCUCAUUAAAUCAGUUAUAGUUUAUUUGAUGCUAUAGGUCGUAAGACCACUACAUGGAUAUCUGUAGUCACAUAGAGCUAAUACAUGCAAUAUAGUCUGACUUUUUGGAAGGACUAGCACUUAUUAGAUAUUAAACCAAUCCUCGCAAGAGGUUUUAUGGUGAUUCAUAGUAACUGAACAAAUCACAUAGUCUCGUACUGGUGAUGUUUCAUUCAAAUUUCUGCCCUAUCAACUUGAUGGGUAGUAUAUAGGACUACCAUGGUUAUAACGGGUAACGGAGGAUUAGGGUUUGAUUCCGGAGAAGGAGCAUGAGAAACGGCUACUAUUUCUAAGGAAAGCAGCAGGCGCGCAAAUUAUUCAAUGGAAACAAAUUUCCGAAAUAGUGACAAAAAAUAUCAAUGCCAGGUACAAUGUAUUUGGUAAUUGGAAUGAGUACAAUUUAAAUCCCUUAACAAGUAACAAUUAGAGGGCAAGUCUGGUGCCAGCAGCC
Molecule: ribosomal RNA, 512 nt
Filed under: uncultured eukaryote
Lineage: Eukaryota
Description: SSU rRNA
Rfam family: Eukaryotic small subunit ribosomal RNA
Source: RNAcentral